UACGGAGGGUGCAAGCGUUGUUCGGAGUCACUGGGCGUAAAGCGCGUGUAGGCGGCCUCCUCAGUCUGGUGUGAAAGCCCGGGGCUCAACCCCGGAAGUGCAUUGGAUACUGGGAGGCUGGAGUACCGGAGAGGAGGGUGGAAUUCCUGGUGUAGCGGUGAAAUGCGUAGAUAUCAGGAGGAACACCGGUGGCGAAGGCGGCCCUCUGGACGGAUACUGACGCUGAGACGCGAAAGCGUGGGGAGCAAACAGG
Molecule: ribosomal RNA, 253 nt
Filed under: uncultured bacterium
Lineage: Bacteria
Description: partial 16S ribosomal RNA
Rfam family: Bacterial small subunit ribosomal RNA
Source: RNAcentral